AGAGUUUGAUCCUGGCUCAGGACGAACGCUGGCGGCGUGCCUAACACAUGCAAGUCGAACGGAGUUGAUCUUUCGGGAUUAACUUAGUGGCGAACGGGUGAGUAACGCGUGAGAAACCAGCCUUUCAGUGGGGGACAACAGUUGGAAACGACUGCUAAUACCGCAUAAUGUCAUUUGGGGGCAUCCCUGAAUGACCAAAGCUUAAUGUGCUGAAAGAUGGUCUCGCGUCUGAUUAGCUAGAUGGCGGGGUAACGGCCCACCAUGGCGACGAUCAGUAGCCGGUCUGAGAGGAUGAACGGCCACAUUGGGACUGAGAUACGGCCCAGACUCCUACGGGAGGCAGCAGUGGGGAAUAUUGGGCAAUGGGGGAAACCCUGACCCAGCAACGCCGCGUGAAGGAAGAAGGCCUUCGGGUUGUAAACUUCUUUUACCAGGGACGAAGAACGUGACGGUACCUGGAGAAAAAGCAACGGCUAACUACGUGCCAGCAGCCGCGGU
Molecule: ribosomal RNA, 498 nt
Filed under: uncultured bacterium
Lineage: Bacteria
Description: bacterial SSU rRNA
Rfam family: Bacterial small subunit ribosomal RNA
Source: RNAcentral